Molecule: ribosomal RNA, 460 nt
Filed under: uncultured bacterium
Lineage: Bacteria
Description: partial 16S ribosomal RNA
Rfam family: Bacterial small subunit ribosomal RNA
Source: RNAcentral
CCUACGGGAGGCUGCAGUGAGGAAUAUUGGUCAAUGGACGAAAGUCUGAACCAGCCAAGUAGCGUGAAGGAUGACUGCCCUAUGGGUUGUAAACUUCUUUUAUAUGGGAAUAAAAUGUUCCACGUGUAGGAUUUUGUAUGUACCAUAUGAAUAAGGAUCGGCUAACUCCGUGCCAGCAGCCGCGGUAAUACGGAGGAUCCAAGCGUUAUCCGGAUUUAUUGGGUUUAAAGGGAGCGUAGGUGGAUUGUUAAGUUAGUUGUGAAAGGUUGCGGCUCAACCGUAAAAUUGCAGUUGAAACUGGCAGUCUUGAGUACAGUAGAGGUAGGCGGAAUGCGUGGUGUAGCGGUGAAAUGCUUAGAGAUCAUGAAGAACUCCGAUUGCGAAGGCAGCUUACUGGACUGCAACUGACAUUGAGGCUCGAAAGUGUGGGGAUCAAACAGGAUUAGAUACCCCUGUAGUC